GACGAACGCUGGCGGCGUGCUUAACACAUGCAAGUCGAACGGAAAGGCCCUGCUUUUAUGGGGUGCUCGAGUGGCGAACGGGUGAGUAACACGUGAGUAACCUGCCCUUGACUUUGGGAUAACUUCAGGAAACUGGGGCUAAUACCGGAUAGGAGCUCCUGCUGCAUGGUGGGGGUUGGAAAGUUUCGGCGGUUGGGGAUGGACUCGCGGCUUAUCAGCUUGUUGGUGGGGUAGUGGCUUACCAAGGCUUUGACGGGUAGCCGGCCUGAGAGGUGACCGGCCACAUUGGGACUGAGAUACGGCCCAGACUCCUACGGGAGGCAGCAGUGGGGAAUAUUGCACAAUGGGCGGAAGCCUGAUGCAGCAACGCCGCGUGCGGGAUGACGGCCUUCGGGUUGUAAACCGCUUUCGCCUGUGACGAAGCGUGAGUGACGGUAAUGGGUAAAGAAGCACCGGCUAACUACGUG
This 467-nucleotide ribosomal RNA is filed under the name uncultured bacterium. RNAcentral's name for it is "partial 16S ribosomal RNA". It matches the Rfam family "Bacterial small subunit ribosomal RNA", at positions 28 to 507 of the family's 1533-position model. The record is from RNAcentral.